CAAAACAGACAUUGCCCUUAUACAAGAAACCCACAUACCCAGAACAGCAUCAGUAACCCUGAAAGACAGAUACUUCCCACAGACCCACGAAGCGAAAGCGCUACACAAACGCGCCGGAGUGGCAAUAUUAGUACACAAAAACUGCCCACUCCAGGUGACAGGGACACUAGCUGACCCAGAAGGCCGCUACAUCGUAAUAACAGGCACGAUACACAGCACAAAAAUAAGAAUCAUUAAUGUGUAUGCUCCUAACAUAACAGAAC
Non-coding RNA from Pelobates cultripes (western spadefoot toad), 263 nucleotides. The record is from the annotation of a GenBank genome assembly. NCBI's taxonomy places the organism in Eukaryota, Metazoa, Chordata, Amphibia, Anura, Pelobatidae.